UACGUAGGCAGCGAGCGUUGUUCGGAAUUACUGGGCGUAAAGAGUGUGUAGGCGGUGCUCCAAGUCUGGUGUGAAAUCUCCCGGCUCAACUGGGAGGGUGCGCUAGAAACUGGAAUGCUAGAGGAUGGGAGAGGUAAGCGGAAUUCCUGGUGUAGCGGUGAAAUGCGUAGAUAUCAGGAGGAACACCUGUGGUGUAGACAGCUUACUCGACCAUUUCUGACGCUGAGACACGAAAGCGUGGGUAGCAAACAGG
RNAcentral lists this ribosomal RNA (253 nucleotides) under uncultured bacterium. RNAcentral describes it as "partial 16S ribosomal RNA". It matches the Rfam family "Bacterial small subunit ribosomal RNA", at positions 524 to 776 of the family's 1533-position model. The record is from RNAcentral.